AGUGAACGCUGGCGGUAGGCCUAACACAUGCAAGUCGAACGGCAGCACAGUAAGAGCUUGCUCUUACGGGUGGCGAGUGGCGGACGGGUGAGGAAUACAUCUGAAUCUACUUUUUCGUGGGGGAUAACGUAGGGAAACUUACGCUAAUACCGCAUACGACCUACGGGUGAAAGCAGGGGAUCUUCGGACCUUGCGCGAUUGAAUGAGCCGAUGUCGGAUUAGCUAGUUGGCGGGGUAAAGGCCCACCAAGGCGACGAUCCGUAGCUGGUCUGAGAGGAUGAUCAGCCACACUGGAACUGAGACACGGUACAGACUCCUAAGGGAGGCAGCAGUGGGGAAUAUUGGACAAGGGGCGCAAGCCUGAUCCAGCCAUACCGCGUGGGUGAAGAAGGCCUUCGGGUUGUAAAGCCCUUUUGUUGGGAAAGAAAAGCAGCAGGUUAAUACCCCGCUGUUCUGACGGUACCCAAAGAAUAAGCACCGGCUAACUUCGUG
This 492-nucleotide ribosomal RNA is filed under the name uncultured bacterium. RNAcentral describes it as "partial 16S ribosomal RNA". It matches the Rfam family "Bacterial small subunit ribosomal RNA", at positions 29 to 507 of the family's 1533-position model. The record is from RNAcentral.